Molecule: non-coding RNA, 45 nt
Filed under: Schistosoma mattheei
Lineage: Eukaryota; Metazoa; Platyhelminthes; Trematoda; Strigeidida; Schistosomatidae
Source: RNAcentral
AUCCAACUGAUGAAUUCUAAAUGGGACGAAACGUGCGCCCUGGAU